UCUCGCGUCAGGAUAUGCCUAGGUGGGAUUAGCUAGUUGGUGAGGUAAGGGCUCACCAAGGCGACGAUCCCUAGCUGGUCUGAGAGGAUGAUCAGCCACACUGGAACUGAGACACGGUCCAGACUCCUACGGGAGGCAGCAGUGGGGAAUAUUGCACAAUGGGCGCAAGCCUGAUGCAGCCAUGCCGCGUGUNUGAAGAAGGCCUUCGGGUGUAAAGCACUUUCAGUCGUGAGGAAGGNGGUGUAGUUAAUAGCUGCAUUAUUUGACGUUAGCGACAGAAGAAGCACCGGCUAACUCCGUGCCAGCAGCCGCGGUAAUACGGAGGGUGCGAGCGUUAAUCGGAAUUACUGGGCGUAAAGCGCAUGCAGGUGGUUUGUUAAGUCAGAUGUGAAAGCCCGGGGCUCAACCUCGGAAUAGCAUUUGAAACUGGCAGACUAGAGUACUGUAGAGGGGGGUAGAAUUUCA
This 465-nucleotide ribosomal RNA is filed under the name Vibrio alginolyticus. Its description in RNAcentral is "bacterial SSU rRNA". It matches the Rfam family "Bacterial small subunit ribosomal RNA", at positions 213 to 671 of the family's 1533-position model. The record is from RNAcentral. Lineage: Bacteria; Pseudomonadati; Pseudomonadota; Gammaproteobacteria; Vibrionales; Vibrionaceae.